GAAAUUCGCCUUCAUGAAGCCGGAAUUGCUAGUAAUGGCAGGUCAGCAUACUGCCGUGAAUACGUUCCCGGGCCUUGUACACACCGCCCGUCACACCAUGAGAGUCGGGAACACCCGAAGUCCGUAGCCUAACCGCAAGGGGGGCGCGGCCGAAGGUGGGUUCGAUAAUUGGGGUGAAGUCGUAACAAGGUACC
RNAcentral lists this ribosomal RNA (194 nucleotides) under uncultured bacterium. RNAcentral's name for it is "partial 16S ribosomal RNA". It matches the Rfam family "Bacterial small subunit ribosomal RNA", at positions 1307 to 1500 of the family's 1533-position model. The record is from RNAcentral.